RNAcentral lists this ribosomal RNA (253 nucleotides) under uncultured bacterium. RNAcentral describes it as "partial 16S ribosomal RNA". It matches the Rfam family "Bacterial small subunit ribosomal RNA", at positions 524 to 776 of the family's 1533-position model. The record is from RNAcentral.
UACGUAGGGGGCAAGCGUUGUCCGGAUUUAUUGGGCGUAAAGAGCGUGUAGGCGGCCAGGCAGGUCGGUUGUGAAAACUAGAGGCUCAACCUCUAGACGUCGACCGAAACCAUCUGGCUAGAGUCCGGAAGAGGAGAGUGGAAUUCCUGGUGUAGCGGUGAAAUGCGCAGAUAUCAGGAAGAACACCCGUGGCGAAGGCGGCUCUCUGGGACGGUACUGGCGCUGAGACGCGAAAGCGUGGGGAGCGAACAGG